Molecule: long non-coding RNA, 626 nt
Organism: Gorilla gorilla gorilla (western lowland gorilla)
Lineage: Eukaryota; Metazoa; Chordata; Mammalia; Primates; Hominidae
Exons: 4
Source: RefSeq, a predicted model, not a curated record
ACUCCAUCUCCCACGUGGUGUGGCUGGCCUCGUGUCUAUUAAAUGCUUUCUCUACUACAGUGCCGUGGGCUGUCUUUAUGCGGUGGGCAGGAAGAACCUCUCAGGCAGUUACAAUUACAAGCCCACAAAUUAAUUAGACCCAGUGCUGUAACACACUAGAUACAUGACUAUCAAGCUGAGAAGAAAAGACAGAUACCUGAGUUCCCCAGUCUCCUGCAAGUUUGAGAUCGGCUUGAGUGACAGUACUGAAUUCAGUGUUAGAGGUGGCCUCUAAAAGGGGCUCUCACAAUCUCCACCUCCUGGAAUUCAUGCCUGUGUGUAAUACCUUCUUGAUCCCUUGCAUCUGGAGAAAGCCACUGCCAUGACAUGCAGUAGCCCUGAAGUGAGACCUAGAUGAGUACGUUUAGAAAUAGAUCUUCUGUGGCCAGCCAACAGUGACGUGAGUGAGUCCAGAAGCAGAUCUUCACCUAGUUGAACCAUCUGAUGACAGCAGCCCCAAACAAGUUUGAUGGCUACUUUGUAAGACACAGACCCUAAGGUUGAAUCACCCAGAUAUAUCACUAUGAGAUUCCUGACUCACAGACAUGGUGACGUAAUAAAUGCCUCUUGCCUGGGAUACUUUUUAA